UAGGGAAUCUUCCACAACGGACGCAAGUCUGAUGGAGCAACGCCGCGUGAGUGAAGAAGGUCUUCGGAUCGUAAAACUCUGUUGUUAGAGAAGAACACGAGUGAGAGUAACUGUUCAUUCGAUGACGGUAUCUAACCAGCAAGUCACGGCUAACUACGUGCCAG
RNAcentral lists this ribosomal RNA (164 nucleotides) under uncultured bacterium. Its description in RNAcentral is "partial 16S rRNA". It matches the Rfam family "Bacterial small subunit ribosomal RNA", at positions 355 to 511 of the family's 1533-position model. The record is from RNAcentral.